CCUACGGGUGGCUGCAGUGGGGGAUAUUGCACAAUGGGGGAAACCCUGAUGCAGCGAUGCCGCGUGAAUGAAGACGGCCUUCGGGUUGUAAAGUUCUGUCGCAGGGGACGAAAAUGACGGUACCCUGCAAGAAAGCUCCGGCUAACUACGUGCCAGCAGCCGCGGUAAUACGUAGGGAGCAAGCGUUGUCCGGAAUUACUGGGUGUAAAGGGAGCGUAGGCGGGAGGAUAAGUUGAAUGUGAAAUCUAUGGGCUCAACCCAUAGCUGCGUUCAAAACUGUUCUUCUUGAGUGAAGUAGAGGCAGGCGGAAUUCCUAGUGUAGCGGUGAAAUGCGUAGAUAUUAGGAGGAACACCAGCGGCGAAAGCGAUUCACUGGACUGUAACUGACACUGAGGCACGAAAGCGUGGGGAGCAAACAGGAUUAGAUACCCGAGUAGUC
This 439-nucleotide ribosomal RNA is filed under the name uncultured bacterium. RNAcentral describes it as "partial 16S ribosomal RNA". It matches the Rfam family "Bacterial small subunit ribosomal RNA", at positions 338 to 795 of the family's 1533-position model. The record is from RNAcentral.